Molecule: ribosomal RNA, 461 nt
Filed under: uncultured bacterium
Lineage: Bacteria
Description: bacterial SSU rRNA
Rfam family: Bacterial small subunit ribosomal RNA
Source: RNAcentral
ACUCCUACGGGAGGCAGCAGUGAGGAAUAUUGGACAAUGGGCGAGGGCCUGAUCCAGCCAUGCCGCGUGCAGGAAGAAUGCCCUAUGGGUAGUAAACUGCUUUAUACGGGAAGAAAAGGGCACGUGUGCCCUGCUUGACGGUACCGUAAGAAUAAGGACCGGCUAACUCCGUGCCAGCAGCCGCGGUAAUACGGAGGGUCCGAGCGUUAUCCGGAAUUAUUGGGUUUAAAGGGUCCGUAGGCGGGCCGGUAAGUCAGGGUGAAAGAUCUGUAGCUCAACUAUAGAACUGCCUUUGAUACUGCCGGUCUUGAGUCACGGUGAAGUUGCCGGAAUAUGUGGUGUAGCGGUGAAAUGCAUAGAUAUCACAUAGAACACCGAUUGCGAAGGCAGGUGACUAACCGUGUACUGACGCUGAUGGACGAAAGCGUGGGGAGCGAACAGGAUUAGAUACCCUGGUAGGU